RNAcentral lists this ribosomal RNA (492 nucleotides) under uncultured bacterium. Its description in RNAcentral is "partial 16S ribosomal RNA". It matches the Rfam family "Bacterial small subunit ribosomal RNA", at positions 29 to 507 of the family's 1533-position model. The record is from RNAcentral.
AGUGAACGCUGGCGGUAGGCCUAACACAUGCCAGUCGAACGGCAGCACAGUAAGAGCUUGCUCUUACGGGUGGCGAGUGGCGGACGGGUGAGGAAUACAUCGGAAUCUACUUUUUCGUGGGGGAUAACGUAGGGAAACUUACGCUAAUACCGCAUACGACCUACGGGUGAAAGCAGGGGAUCUUCUGACCUUGCGCGAUUGAAUGAGCCGAUGUCGGAUUAGCUAGUUGGCGGGGUAAAGGCCCACCAAGGCGACGAUCCGUAGCUGGUCUGAGAGGAUGAUCAGCCACACUGGAACUGAGACACGGUCCAGACUCCUACGGGAGGAAGCAGUGGGGAAUAUUGGACAAUGGGCGCAAGCCUGAUCCAGCCAUACCGCGUGGGUGAAGAAGGCCUUCGGGUUGUAAAGCCCUUUUGUUGGGAAAGAAAAGCAGCAGGUUAAUACCCCGCUGUUCUGACGGUACCCAAAGAAUAAGCACCGGCUAACUUCGUG